UCCUGAGCACACUAAUAUCAUUGGAAAACAGCGACAAUAAAUUGGCAAUUGACUCAAAGUGAACAUUUUAUAUACAGCAAAAAAGCGAAGGUACACUGGCGGAUCCGAGUAAAUCCGAGUGCGAUCCAACCAACGCGAUUAGAACUUUUCGGACAAAAGGCAUACAAGGCAGAGCCACCGCUUGUGGUGAGUAGACAAGAAGGCCGAACCCAUUGUGUUCGUAGCUGUGCGUGGCGGACAAGGAUCUGGACGAGUCAAAACCCCCAACCGUUUUCCACGAGAGCCACGUCUGGAGAGCUCCAGACAGCAUAUUGAGCGAGGCCUGAGAGUCGUCCGAGUAAGGCCCAGGAAAGGCCCAACAGGUAACGCGUCAUCCCCAAGGCGAGCACAAGGAGAGGCGUUGUGUGCGAGGUUGAGUACGUGUACCGUGCGUGAGCUAUGUAAGUCGAACGCAUAGCCGUAUCACCAGUGAGACUACAACUGACGUGGAAACAAGUUUGUGGUGGCCAAUAUGACUAUCCCUAAGUUACCAAUAAAGAUCAUAUAAAAAGCGCUUGAUCGUAACCAGUGAAUUACUUACUUUUAAUAUAAAUUCGUUGCAACGAGCUCUUCGCCAGAAGAGCCAGCCAACUUUUUAUGGCUGCCUUUUGGUUUGUUUUGCGUCCAAAAGCGGUUAAUUUAGAAGUUGCGAGUCGCCACGUAAGCGCUCUGCGAUCGAGGAGUUGGCGAACUCAGUGCGAGGAUUCGAGUCAAUUCUGCAAAGAACCUACUCCUACAGGCGGUGGGCAGCACGCUUUUGACCGCAGAAGCAGCAGUUUUCGUCGGGAUCGAGGCUGUCAGGAAGUCCAGACCUCUAUAAGCUCUCAGGACUCAGGACUCAAGCGACGGCUAGGAACUCACGCCUGUGCGCCUGCUGACAGGCGCGUAUCAAACUUAUCGUGCGGAUACAUACUUCAUUUCGUCCCGCCUUAAAAAAAAUCUAUACGCCACAGACAGUUUUCGCUUUUCGUUAAUCAGAGGGUCUGAUGACUUUACGUAUCAGUCUCAGGAUCCUUGAACGCUUCUGAGAAGUCACGGAAUAGCAAAGUUGCUAAGCCUACGAGAUUUUUGCCGUUCUCUGAAUGGAUACUUCGUGGACAGCCUCGUCUUGAAUACUGGAAUACUUACUGAGUGCAGGGUGUAAAAGUAGAGUCGCGUAUGAGAGCGAUUCACAGCGUUCCUCAUUGUUUUGC
RNAcentral lists this long non-coding RNA (1232 nucleotides) under Drosophila guanche. Lineage: Eukaryota; Metazoa; Arthropoda; Insecta; Diptera; Drosophilidae. The record is from RNAcentral.